CUCCCUCAGCAAAAGCCCCAUGGCAUCGGCCUCCGCUCCCUUCAUGGCGGUGGCGGGCGUCUGGGGAGCCGACAAUUGGGGAGCUAGGGUUUUAGAAGAUUGAAGGGAGGUUUUGAGAGAUGGGAAAUUUUUUAUGGGAGAAGAGAUUGGAUUGAGAGUAAAAGGGAGAGGAGAGGGUUUAGAGGAACGAAGAGAGGGUCUGAGAGAGGAACAUAAGUGAGGGGUUGCUGGAGAAGAAAGCGAAAGCACGUCCAUAGCUGACUCCUUACAACAAUCUAUCAGUUAGAGAGGAAGAGGAGAAACAUCCGUACUCG
Molecule: unclassified non-coding RNA, 314 nt
Filed under: Hevea brasiliensis (rubber tree)
Lineage: Eukaryota; Viridiplantae; Streptophyta; Magnoliopsida; Malpighiales; Euphorbiaceae
Source: RNAcentral